Molecule: ribosomal RNA, 618 nt
Filed under: Gibsmithia hawaiiensis
Lineage: Eukaryota; Rhodophyta; Florideophyceae; Gigartinales; Dumontiaceae
Description: eukaryotic LSU rRNA
Rfam family: Eukaryotic large subunit ribosomal RNA
Source: RNAcentral
AACAACUCACCUGCCGAAUGAACUAGCCCUGAAAAUGGAUGGCGCUUAAGCGGGCGGCCGACACCGCGCCGUCUGGUAAAGAAUUUUUUUUUAUUUUUAUGAUCAGAUGAGUAGGAGGGCGUGGCGGGCGUGUCGAAGCGUGCGUGCAAACGCGCGUGGAACGGCCGCUAGUGCAGAUCUUGGUGGUAGUAGCAAGUAUUCAAGCGAGAUCCUUGAAGGGCGAAGCGGGGAAGGGUUCCACGCGAACAGCGCUUGGGCGUGGGUGAGUCGUUCCUAAGCCGAGUGGCAAUUGCUAAGUAGCGGCGAAAGGGAAGCGGGUUGACAUUCCCGCACACGGAUGUGGAGGCGGUGACGCGUAUUGGGGCGAACACGCUGGCGACGGCGCUGGGCAGAGUUGUCUUUUCUGUUUGACCUACCAAGCUCGCGGUGUGGAAUCCGCUUGUCGGGAGAAACACGCGUGUCGGGGCAGAGCGCCGGGGCUUUUCCGGCGUCCAGCUCGCCGUCGACGGCCCUUGAAACUUUGCCUGCUGAAAAUUUUUUUUGUAAGAUCCACGCCGUGGCGUACCGAUCACCGCAUCAGGUCCCCAAGGUGAACAGCCUCUGCUCGAUAUGAACAAU